This 504-nucleotide ribosomal RNA is filed under the name uncultured Actinomyces sp. Its description in RNAcentral is "partial 16S ribosomal RNA". Lineage: Bacteria; Bacillati; Actinomycetota; Actinomycetes; Actinomycetales; Actinomycetaceae. The record is from RNAcentral.
CACGUAGUUAGCCGGCGCUUCUUAUCCAGCUACCGUCAACCCACCCACAAACGAGGCAGGCCUGCUUCACUGGCGAAAGAGGUUCACAACCCGAAGGCCUCCAUCCCUCACGCGGCGUCGCUGCAUCAGGCUUGCGCCCAUUGUGCAAUAUUCCCCACUGCUGCCUCCCGUAGGAGUCUGGGCCGUGUCUCAGUCCCAGUGUGACCGUCCACCCUCUCAGGCCGGCUACCCGUCACCGCCUUGGUAGGCCAUCACCCCACCAACAAGCUGAUAGGCCGCGAGCCCAUCCCCCACCAAAAACACCAAAAAAGGCGCAAUCUUUCCCAGGCCCACCAUGCGACAGACCCAGAAUAUCCCGUAUUAGCCACACUUUCAUGCGGUUAUCCAGAAGAAGGGGCAGGUUACUCACGUGUUACUCACCCGUUCGCCACUCAUCCAGGACCCACAAAAGCAGGCCCCUUCACCGUUCGACUUGCAUGUGUUAAGCACGCCGCCAGCGUUCGU